RNAcentral lists this ribosomal RNA (339 nucleotides) under uncultured soil bacterium. RNAcentral's name for it is "bacterial SSU rRNA". It matches the Rfam family "Bacterial small subunit ribosomal RNA", at positions 26 to 366 of the family's 1533-position model. The record is from RNAcentral.
AGAUUGAACGCUGGCGGCAGGCCUAACACAUGCAAGUCGAGCGGCAGCACGGGUACUUGUACCUGGUGGCGAGCGGCGGACGGGUGAGUAAUGCCUAGGAAUCUGCCUGGUAGUGGGGGAUAACGCUCGGAAGCGGACGCUAAUACCGCAUACGUCCUACGGGAGAAAGCAGGGGACCUUCGGGCCUUGCGCUAUCAGAUGAGCCUAGGUCGGAUUAGCUAGUUGGUGAGGUAAUGGCUCACCAAGGCGACGAUCCGUAACUGGUCUGAGAGGUGAUCAGUCACACUGGAACUGAGACACGGUCCAGACUCCGUACGGGAGCAGCAGUGGGGAAUAGUU